CCUACGGGGCGCAGCAGUGGGGAAUAUUGGGCAAUGGGCGCAAGCCUGACCCAGCAACGCCGCGUGAGGGAAGAAGGCUCUCGGGUUGUAAACUUCUUUUGUCAGGGAAGAGUAGAAGACGGUACCUGACGAAUAAGCCACGGCUAACAACGUGCCAGCAGCCGCGGUAAUACGUAGGUGGCAAGCGUUGUCCGGGUUUACUGGGUGUAAAGGGCGUGUAGCCGGGUUGACAAGUCAGAUGGGAAAUCCUGCGGCUUAACCGCAGAACUGCAUUUGAAACUGUUGAUCUUGAGUACUGGAGAGGAAGACGGAAUUCCUAGUGUAGCGGUGAAAUGCGUAGAUAUUACGAGGAACACCAGUGGCGAAGGCGGUCUGCUGGACAGCAACUGACGGUGAGGCGCGAAAGCGUGGGGAGCAAACAGGAUUAGAUACCCUGGUAGUC
Molecule: ribosomal RNA, 442 nt
Filed under: uncultured bacterium
Lineage: Bacteria
Description: partial 16S ribosomal RNA
Rfam family: Bacterial small subunit ribosomal RNA
Source: RNAcentral